GGGACGAAUAGCUCAGUAAAACUGCGAUGAUUUAGUCUGGCUGUGUAGAUAACUACGUGAAAAUGUAGCUAAGGGAAGGCAGAAUAAGACGCAGGACUAUCAGUUAGUUGGUAGUGUAAUGGACUACCAAGACAGUGACGGUUGACGGGAAAUUAGGGUUUUGUACCGGAGAGGGAGCCUGAGAGAUUGCUCCCACGUCCAAGGACGGCAGCAGGCGCGAAAAUUGCCCACUCUUUGCAGGAGGCAGUUAUGAGACGUGAAGAUGAGUAUCUUGUAAAGAGGGAUAGGAGAAUUGGAGGGCAAGUUUGGUGCCAGCAGCCGCGGAAAUACCGACUCCAAGAGUGUGUAUGAGAGAUGCUGCAGUUAAAAAGUCCGUAGUCAUAGAAGGGCAAAGAGAGACGCGAGGUCUCACAGUGCGAUGAUGGAGGAGCCGAUGGGGAACAUAGUAUACCAGGGCGAGAGAUGAAAUGCCAAGACCCCUGGUGGACUGAGCGAGGCGAAGGCGAUGUUCUUGUAGGCAUUCGGUGAUCAAGGACGAAGGCUGGAGU
This 548-nucleotide ribosomal RNA is filed under the name Vittaforma corneae. RNAcentral's name for it is "SSU rRNA". It matches the Rfam family "Microsporidia small subunit ribosomal RNA", at positions 76 to 649 of the family's 1311-position model. Lineage: Eukaryota; Fungi; Microsporidia; Nosematidae. The record is from RNAcentral.